Molecule: unclassified non-coding RNA, 3049 nt
Filed under: Leishmania donovani
Lineage: Eukaryota; Euglenozoa; Kinetoplastea; Trypanosomatida; Trypanosomatidae
Description: gene:LdHU3.01.0820(CDS-product:PLAC8_family_putat ive)
Source: RNAcentral
CUACGCACAACGACUUCGUCACCGUCGCGCGCCCUGUUUCCCAGCACAAGUCUCUGGGCACACGCAGAACACGUAUCGGUCAUGUCCACAUCCUUGCCGCUCUCGAGCAGCCACUGCACGGCCAACGAAAAUGACAGCAGUGCGCCGCUGUCGCUGCUGCCGCAACCCCAUCAACAACGACACCAGCUGCAGGCGAUGGUGUACGUGCCGCCAUCUAGUGAGGUGCAUGGUGUGCCAAUCCUCUACCGGCAGAACGACGGCACGGACGCCCCGGCGCCGCUGGUCGAUGAGCUUCGGCGCAGUGCAUUUUACCGAAGCAACAGCAGUGGUGCCGCCCUCAGCACUCGAGGGAGUCUCCACAGCGUCGUCACGGGCAGCGAUGCGCCCUCGUCUCUGCCGGGCAACUCGGUGGGAAGCGGGUCAGGCCAUAGCGGAUGGUCGCCUGCAAUCUCUGGACUACCCGGAGUGCAGCGGGAGGAAGCGCUGUCGACGAACAACACGGGCAGCGACAGCUCCGCACAGACCAGCUUGCACUACAUGCAAGGUAGCACCGGUAACAACAACGGCUCGUACAUGGCGGUGGUGAAGCCCGUCUUCAACUGGUCGCAGCGCACGCAGUACGCAGCGCCGCCACAGCAUCCGUACAUGGCAUACCACUACCAGCUGCAGCAGCAGCAGCCCUACACGUUGUCCGCCUGCAUGGCAGCGCCGCCCGGGUCGCCAGCAUUCUGCCCGCCUUCCGCGCAGUACCAGUACGCCUAUGUGCCUGCCGCCAGUUACGUGGCGACAAGCAGCUGUGCAUGCAGUGGCAGCAACGACGGUCCGCUGCCGUAUCCGCUGCAGCCCGAGGCCGCACCAGGGUAUGGUGAGGAGCAGGCAUCCCUGCUGUGGAACACAGGCCUCUUCGGCCUCGCCACGGACGUCCCCUCUGCCAUGGACUCCGUCAUGUGCAUCUACUGCAUCAGCAGCACGCACUUCAACUAUCUGUACCGCCAGCAGCGUGGCAUGUUCGAUCCGAUCACCGCCGCUCUCCUGUGCUUCGAUGUUUGUUGGUGCAUGCAGUUGUGGCCCGUUGUCACGCCGCUGUCGUCCAUCACGUUGCACACGUUCAUCAUCCGCAGAGAGCUGCGGAAGCGCUAUGGCCUCGUCGGCAACGACCUAUUCGUGAAGAUGGAUCGUCUCAAUGCCGACACUGCAGCGGCGACGGAGGCGGGCGAGACGGGGGCACAAGCUGAGGAGGCGACGACGGCGGAGGUAGAGUCGCAGCUGCACAGGGCAUGCGACAGCGACGUCACGGUGGAGGCUGCGGCUGCUGAGCCAGCAGGCACGGGGGAAGUUGCCGCAGAAGUGACGUCAGUGACGCCCCCGGUCACAGCACCAUCUGAAGCUGCCGCGCCACGCACAGGAGAAUCGGACGUGAUGGCGACACACGCCACGCCGUGUGCCCCAUGGUAUUCGAAGCUGAAGCUGAGCGAGGAGUGGGAAAGUAUCUUUUUGGAUGUGCUCGUCUCCUGCUUCUGUGUGCCGUGCGCGGUGGCACAGCACCAUCGCGAGUUGUCUAUACGCGGCGACUGGCCCGGCAACGCCAUUGUGAGUCGAGGCGACUUCACCGCCCGCGGGCAGCACUACCUCCCGCAUGGGCUGCAGCACCAACAUCCGCAGCUGGGCGGGACGGUGAUGCCGAUGAUACCCGUUGAGCCACCGGUCAUAACCGUCGCUGGUGUCGGCGCGGGUGGUGUAACGCUGACGAACAUGGCGUAACCUCUUUCACAAUGUGUGCCGACGCGUGCGCGUCGGCGUGCCGGUGCGGCUCUCGUUUGUGUGUGUGUGUGUGUCUUUCUCACCGCGCGUCCACACGAUGCCUAGUCCCUACCCCACCCCACUCCCUACUCCACCACAGCGGUUGUGAUGCGUGAGUCCUGCGCUCGUGAGGCCCCCCCCCACUCCACACACCCCACAUCCCUCGUGUGGGGCGGGGGGAGGCGCUCCAGCUCUCUCGCUCGGUGUGGGUGCUCCUAUCGACCUUGCUCUCUCUCUCUCCUCUCUGUCAGCGCUUGGUAUCUGCCUAUCUGCCUACAUAUAUAUAUAUAUAUGCGUAUAAACAUCUAUACACUUAUUGGUGGGUGGGUGGGUGGCAGACGCUCCUGUCUCUAACUCUGCGUUGUCCGAAGCAGACGCUCAUCGAUGUACCCAUCCCAUCUCCCUCCAUCAACCGAUCCUCCUUCUCUUCCGCGCGUGCUGCUGUCCUUGUUCUUGUUUCCGUGUUGUUGUCGUCAUCGUCUUCUGUUGAUACGGCAGGCAACGAUCAUCAUGGUGUCCAUGAUGAUCCUCCAUCUCUCUGCGUGCCUGCCUGCCUCUCUGUUGGCCCGUGUGGUUCCGUGCAUGUGUUUCUCUACCGACAGUACUCGCCGGCGCCAUCCCCUCCUCCUCCCUCCGCCGCCGUCCCCCGCUCACUGUCAUGUGAGCUUGAGCAUCUCAUGUCUCCGGCUCUCUUUGCGGCGUGUGACGUCGCUUUUUCGUGUCGUCGAGUCUCCUCGUGCUCCCACCUCCCCCCCUCCCUCCCUCCCUCCCUCUCCUUGCGUCUGCAUCCGUCGGUGUCCGUGUGCGGAUCUGCCGCCGCGCUGUGCGCACGAGAGUAUUGGCUGCCACCAGUGAGCAUGUCUCUGCUUGAACCUCCAUAUACGCCUGACCGCGCACACACACGGGGCACACCGCGAGAGACGCACCAAGCGCCUGUGUAUGUGUGUGUGUGUGUGUGUGUACCAGACGGAGACGGAGACGUACAAGACUCGUCGUUCUGCGUGGUGACGCCAACGGAUUCGCUUGCGACCAGCUCAUGGUGGUUUGCGGUAGAUGCUAAGAAAGGAGUGCGGAGGAAGAAAAGACGCCGCACCCACGCGCGUGUGCGCGUGGGUGUCUUUCUGCUUUUUUAUUUGAUGCCCCAGUGUGCGGUGGUGGAUGCCGAAUCUCUUGGUUACCCAAAUCACCGGUCGUAUCACUGGCGUGGCCCGUCUCGGCGUAGGUGUCGUGAUCGCAACGAUCAGCUUGC